This is a long non-coding RNA of Salvia miltiorrhiza (redroot sage), 1878 nucleotides long. RefSeq lists it as uncharacterized. The transcript is spliced from 5 exons. The record is from RefSeq and is a predicted model, not a curated record. NCBI's taxonomy places the organism in Eukaryota, Viridiplantae, Streptophyta, Magnoliopsida, Lamiales, Lamiaceae.
UUAUCAAUUACUGUAAACCCUCUCUCUCGUCUUCCUCCCAAAUCCCACGGCGCUCCAACCCACCAAAAUCCUAACUCUCUCUCUCUCGUCUCUAUCGUCUCUCUCCUCCGGAGGACGUCGCCGGUCCUCGCCUUCUCCGUCGCGGCGAGGCCGACCCCUCUCUUCCCCCUCUUUCUUUCUUCCCUUCCCUACAUCUAAAUCCCUAAAUUAAAAAAAAAAAUAGAUCUAGGGAUUCCUAGCUUCCAUUUAUGUUCUCCAGUUAGUUCCGCCACUGCCGCCAGUCUCCGUCGCACCACCGCCACCUCCGUCUCAAUUGGCAGCCACCGCGGACCGCCGUGGCGCGCGCAGCGCUGGUGGUUGCCGUCGCCAGCCGCGCCCCGCCGCAUUGGCUCGCGGCUGUUGCUGUUGUCCUCUUCUUCUUUUUUUCUUCUUCUUCUUCUUCUUCUUCUUUUCUUUUGCUGUUUUUCUUUUCUGGUGCAAAUAAGGUACAAAAUUGGAAGGAUUGUGAGGGAAAUAUAGCUCUGCAUAUUGCAAUCGCUGAUAAGCAUCUUCAGGUGAGUUCAAUUUCUUUAUCAGAUUUAGUUUAUUGUCACAGUCAUCAUUAACAACUUAGCCCUAGUUUUUUUUUCAUUCUUUAUCUUUCAUUUUGGCUGGUGUUUCAUAAGGAUAAAUGGUGGUGUUCUAUUUCUGUGUUUGAGUCUUGAAUCAGGGAUUUCAUUAAUUGGUGGUAAUAUUGAAAAACGUGAGUGUUGGGAUCAUGAUUGUCAAAUGCUGCCUCAAUGUCUCAAACUGCAGUAAGUAACGACACCCCAAUUAUACAUGAAACUAAUUAUAUGUGUUUUGUACAUGUAGCAAAAGUUUAAAUGUUCCAGUAAGAUCUGUUUUCCUUUAAUUGAUUUCUCCUGAUGUUCAACUGAAUUACUAAUUAGGAACAAAAUGAAUGCAGAAAUCUGAAACUGGAGUAUGUGGAUAUAGAUAAUGGAAUCCAUUGUCGAUGGAAUCAGAAAAUGGAUUCUUUUGUUCUCAUAUUAGUUUGCUAAUGAUCAUGUUAUUAAACUAGUUAGCUGCAUUUUGUUAGUUGAUAUAGAUAACUUCAUCAUCUUAAACUGUGAAAGCUAACACUUCACAUAUAUGAUGGCCUAUUAUCUUGUAAUCUCCAAAUCCAUCCGGCCUCAUCAGAUGCCAAAUCACAUCUCCUCAAUCAAACUAAGAAUGUUCAUUGUCCUAAUCUAAGGUCAGUAACGAAGCUCUAAAAUCGACUCCAUAAAUUUAUUCUCACGACCAAUUCUCGUGACUGUUUGAUUGUUGGCUUUUUGCGCUCGCCCAAUGUUGGAUGUGUAAUAUGUGAUUGUUGUCUACUCCAACCGCCGUCACUGUCUUGAUGGAGAACUGCCGCCUUGCUAGAGAAUUGCCGCAGCUCCCUUGCUAGAGAGUCACCUCCGCGAACCGCUGCCGCUGCCUUGCUUGACAAUCGCCGCCGCUGCUUGCUCGAGCACAUUUCUAGAAAGGAAUUUCUCAGGAAUCCAGACAAGUAUAUAAAGCUUGGUGCACGACCUCCUAGAGGUGUUCUCUUGAUAUAUGUUGUAGCCAAGAGCCGUGAUGGUAGAUUCCGUAUUGUGAGUAAUGACGAGCGUGAACAGACCUUAAAUCAGCUUUUCACUGUUUGUGGUGGUGGAUUAAAUGAGCCGUACGUUGAGCUGAAAAGACUUGUGAAUUCACAAGAAAAGUUAUACCAUAUGGCUAGAUAGUUGCAUAUUUAAUAUAUUUAGUAUUUUUGUAAGGCAUAAUAGUAUUAGAUAGAGCAUUUGUUGAAUUUUGACUAUAUUCAAAUGAUGUAUGAAUUCUUUUUUUAUGAUAAUAAUAUAUGGAUUUUCAAUA